Molecule: ribosomal RNA, 486 nt
Filed under: uncultured bacterium
Lineage: Bacteria
Description: bacterial SSU rRNA
Rfam family: Bacterial small subunit ribosomal RNA
Source: RNAcentral
UGGGGAAUCUUGGACAAUGGGGGCAACCCUGAUCCAGCCAUGCCGCGUGAAUGAUGAAGGCCCUAGGGUCGUAAAGCUCUUUCGCCUGUGAAGAUAAUGACGGUAGCAGGUAAAGAAACCCCGGCUAACUCCGUGCCAGCAGCCGCGGUAAUACGGAGGGGGUUUGCGUUGUUCGGAAUUACUGGGCGUAAAGCGCACGUAGGCGGACUGGAAAGUUGGGGGUGAAAUCCCAGGGCUCAACCCUGGAACUGCCUCCAAAACUAUCAGUCUAGAGUUCGAGAGAGGUGAGUGGAAUUCCGAGUGUAGAGGUGAAAUUCGUAGAUAUUCGGAGGAACACCAGUGGCGAAGGCGGCUCACUGGCUCGAUACUGACGCUGAGGUGCGUAAGUGUGGGGAGCAAACAGGAUUAGAAACCCUGGUAGUCCACACCGUAAACGAUGAAUGCAGUCGUCGGGUAGCAUGCUAUUCGGUGACACACCUAACGGAU